This is a non-coding RNA of Salvelinus sp. IW2-2015, 1694 nucleotides long. Lineage: Eukaryota; Metazoa; Chordata; Actinopteri; Salmoniformes; Salmonidae. The record is from RefSeq and is a predicted model, not a curated record.
UGGAGUUAUGUUUGUAACCUGCCCUAUGUUUGACAGCCACACUUUAGGAUAGUCAGACAGGGCAUCUCCAGAAGAAGAUUGAGGGGCUUUACCUCAGUGUGAACCAGAGGAAACACUACCUGUACUGUUUGACAGAAUGUCAAAAGACUGAAGGAGGAGACCAGCCUCAUUGAAGAAAAGCGGCACAGCUGGACAUCAACGGCGCUGUGCUACAGGAGUGGGUUGCUGAGGGUGCAGCAGUGGCCUGGAGGUAUAUUAGUUUCUGAACAAAUAGAGCAAAAACUCAAACGGACAACCAGAAAAAGUUUAUUCAACCCACAAGCAUAUAUUUAUACCUUACGACUAGGCACCACCUUGCAUGUCUACGAUAAAGCAUCAUUAUCUAUUGUUAGGCAAAAACACAGUAUGUUCGUCUCACUGGUAGUGUCAUGACCUGCCUAAGUCUAGGACUCUCUUGGGCGUGGAAGUGUGUGUGUGUGUGUUAGUGUGUGUGUAACUGGCCUGCCUUAUCAGGAACUGAAACUAAACUGUUGCUAUUUGCCUCCUUCCUUAGAAAUAUUAAUACUCAGCAACAUGUUUGAACAGAAUAUUAACUUUCUGCACUUCCCCUUGUCUCAGUAUCUUUCCAUACAUAAACUUCGAAUUCACCAUUCAUUGACCACCAAAAAUGUACAAUUCUUAUACAAGUAAAGUAAUAACUAUGUUCUAAUAUGAUGACAGGAAAAAUUCUACUUCAAGCCAGAAUCCAACAGGUAGAAAAGUGAAUGUUUCUGUCUCUCAACUUCAUAAUUGAUWGAUGUKAGUGGAGUUAUGUUUGUAACKUGCCCUAUGUUUGACAGCCACACUUUAGGAUAGUCAGACAGGGCAUCUCCAGAAGWAGAUUGAGGGGCUUUACCUCAGUGUGAACCAGAGGAAACACUACCUGUACUGUUUGACAGUUCGUCCAAUCACCCCGUUGUAUUCAGACGGCAACAAGAGGAGGCAUCAGAUUCAGAGAGAAAUUGUUGAGCACAAGGCAGCCUUYACAGCAGGCAGAGCUGCUCAGUGGAUGAGCUGCUCAAUACUAACAACAUUGUGSGGCCAUGGGAGAGACUUGGCACCAGCAACAGCCAUCUCGCCAUCAAAAAGGCCAUCUUCGACAGACUGAUGUUGGUGAACAGACUGCAGGAGGAAGAAAGGAUCCUGGUGCAGGAGAUGAAGAGCCACUGGGAAGCCUACAAAGAGCAGCCGGGAACUCUGGAGGCACUGUCCCUACAGCUGCAAGAUCAGAGUAAUGCAGUGGAGGGAGGAAUGMCCUUCUCUGCKUCCUGAAGAGAAGAUUGAGUGAACUGACACAAGACCAAGGAAACACCAGGAACACCUACCAAAAGCUGGUCCUAUUGCUGAGAGCUCAGAUGACAACUGCUAUGCUUUCUGAAAUCAUUCACCACCCCUGCCUCUUUUUCACCUCCCUCGGGAGCAGCCUGGUCUCCUGACGUUGACCCCUGACCCCUCACCUUCUGAACCCAUCCAGAGAAAUAUAAUUUGCCUGAUGAUGCGCUAGUGGAGAAGCAAUGUCUUAUUUCACUGCAUUUGUUGCCAAGUUUCCUCACCUCCUCUCCUCCCGUUUCUUCCGGUCGUAGACUAUGGCGACAUCAUCAGCUUCUAAAAUAAGACAAUGACCCAACUCACCUCCAGGCUGUGUAAGGGCUACU